RNAcentral lists this transfer RNA (62 nucleotides) under Indochinamon bhumibol. RNAcentral's name for it is "tRNA-Phe". The record is from RNAcentral. Lineage: Eukaryota; Metazoa; Arthropoda; Malacostraca; Decapoda; Potamidae.
GCUUAUAUAAUUUAUAAAGAAUAUUGUGUUGAAGUUACAGAAGAGAUAAUUAUCUAUAGGUA